GCCUACGGGGGGCAGCAGUAGGGAAUAUUGCUUAAUGGGCGAAAGCCUGAAGCAGCAACGCCGCGUGUGCGAUGAAGGCCUUCGGGUUGUAAAGCACUUUUUACCGGGACGAGGAAGGACGGUACCGGUAGAAUAAGCCUCGGCUAACUACGUGCCAGCAGCCGCGGUAAAACGUAGGAGGCGAGCGUUAUCCGGAUUUACUGGGUGUAAAGCGCGUGCAGGCGGUGGAGUAAGUUGGGUGUGAAAGCUCCUGGCUCAACUGGGAGAGGUCGCUCAAGACUGCUCGACUGGAGAAUGGUAGGGGAAGGUGGAAUUCCGGGUGUAGUGGUGAAAUGCGUAGAUAUCCGGAGGAACACCAGUGGCGAAGGCGGCCUUCUAGACCAUAUCUGACGCUCAGACGCGAAAGCUAGGGUAGCAAACGGGAUUAGAUACCCGAGUA
Molecule: ribosomal RNA, 439 nt
Filed under: uncultured bacterium
Lineage: Bacteria
Description: bacterial SSU rRNA
Rfam family: Bacterial small subunit ribosomal RNA
Source: RNAcentral